CCAGAGGUCACUGCUAUCGGGGCUCGAUUAAGCCAUGCGAGUCGAGAGGGUUCGGCCCUCGGCGUACUGCUCAGUAACACGUGGAUAACCUGCCCUAAGGAAGGGGAUAACCUCGGGAAACUGAGGAUAAUACCCUAUAGGAUACCGAUGCUGGAAUGCCCGGUAUCCCAAAGCUCCGGCGCCUUAGGAUGGAUCUGCGGCCGAUUAGGUCGUUGUUGGGGUAACGGCCCAACAAGCCGAUAAUCGGUACGGGUUGUGGGAGCAAGAGCCCGGAGUUGGAUUCUGAGACACGAAUCCAGGCCCUACGGGGCGCAGCAGGCGCGAAAACUUUACAAUGCGGGCAACCGUGAUAAGGGAACCUCGAGUGCCUGUACAUGCAGGCUGUCUGGGUGUCUAAAACACACCCAAAGAAAGGGCCGGGCAAGACCGGUGCCAGCCGCCGCGGUAAUACCGGCGGCUCGAGUGGUGGCCACUUUUAUUGGGCUUAAAGCGUUCGUAGCUGGGUUGUUAAGUCUCUUGGGAAAUCUGGCAGCUUAACUGUCAGGCGUCUAAGAGAUACUGGCAAUCUAGGAACCGGGAGAGGUGAGGGGUACUUCGGGGGUAGGAGUGAAAUCCUGUAAUCCUCGAGGGACCACCUGUGGCGAAGGCGCCUCACCAGAACGGCUUCGACAGUGAGGGACGAAAGCUGGGGGAGCAAACCGGAUUAGAUACCCGGGUAGUCCCAGCCGUAAACGAUGCGCGUUAGGUGUGUCGAUGACCACGAGUCAUCGAGGUGCCGAAGGGAAACCGUGAAACGCGCCGCCUGGGAAGUACGGUCGCAAGGCUGAAACUUAAAGGAAUUGGCGGGGGAGCACCACAACAGGUGGAGCCUGCGGUUUAAUUGGACUCAACGCCGGGAAGCUCACCGGAUAGGACAGCAGAAUGAUUGCCGGGCUGAAGACUCUGCAUGACUAGCUGAGAGGAGGUGCAUGGCCGUCGUCAGUUCGUACUGUGAAGCAUCCUGUUAAGUCAGGCAACGAGCGAGACCC
Molecule: ribosomal RNA, 1028 nt
Filed under: uncultured euryarchaeote
Lineage: Archaea; Methanobacteriati; Methanobacteriota
Description: bacterial SSU rRNA
Rfam family: Archaeal small subunit ribosomal RNA
Source: RNAcentral